CCCUUGUCCUUAGUUACCAGCACGUAAUGGUGGGCACUCUAAGGAGACUGCCGGUGACAAACCGGAGGAAGGUGGGGAUGACGUCAAGUCAUCAUGGCCCUUACGGCCUGGGCUACACACGUGCUACAAUGGUCGGUACAGAGGGUUGCCAAGCCGCGAGGUGGAGCUAAUCCCAUAAAACCGAUCGUAGUCCGGAUCGCAGUCUGCAACUCGACUGCGUGAAGUCGGAAUCGCUAGUAAUCGCGAAUCAGAAUGUCGCGGUGAAUACGUU
This 271-nucleotide ribosomal RNA is filed under the name Pseudomonas chlororaphis. Its description in RNAcentral is "partial 16S ribosomal RNA". It matches the Rfam family "Bacterial small subunit ribosomal RNA", at positions 1102 to 1372 of the family's 1533-position model. The record is from RNAcentral. Lineage: Bacteria; Pseudomonadati; Pseudomonadota; Gammaproteobacteria; Pseudomonadales; Pseudomonadaceae.